Molecule: non-coding RNA, 801 nt
Organism: Schizosaccharomyces pombe (fission yeast)
Lineage: Eukaryota; Fungi; Ascomycota; Schizosaccharomycetes; Schizosaccharomycetales; Schizosaccharomycetaceae
Source: the annotation of a GenBank genome assembly
AUAGAUACAGGAGUGAUAACUUGAUUGGCAUUAGAAGCCGGUUGAUAAACGUUUGCAGAAGGAGGUUGGAAAGUUGGUUGAGUCAUCGGAAGCCAUACGGCCAGCGUUGGAGAUAAUGGUACAGCGGUAUGAUUGUUAAUGGAACUUGGGGUGACGGAAUAAUUUACACUUUUAUGUUGAGACGAUUGCGAGGAAGGAGCGAUAGCAGUAGCCGGAGCUAGCUGAGGAGGGUUAGAAGGACAAUACGUUGCAGGACAUAGUGGGGGAGGAUAAGAGGUUGGAGACGAGUAAGGAUGAUUAUGGAUGGGAUGUGGAAGCCUGUUCGGAUGGACUUGGAGCUUUGGUAAAUUAGGGAUCACUGGAGGUUUAGAAAUUGGUUGGUGAGGUAAAUUAGGAGAGGGAAGCGAAACCGGGUACCAGUGUGAAGGAACUUGAGGGACAGGAGGCGGCCGUAAAACAGGUUGACAUGAAACAGGUAGUGGAUUAUGAAGGGGAGGAUGAUGUGAAUGGGGAAAUGGCGAUUGAUUAUUUGAACACGCAUGAUACGAUGUAGGAGACUGAACCAUAUAUGAAGGAUGGCUGGCGACAUCAUGCGGUAAUGGAACGACGCCAUUAGCAUCCAACCAUGGAUCAUAGGAUUGAGGAAGAGAUACCGAGUUAGUUGAUGGAUAAACAGCAUUCGCACCAUUGAUAGGGACUGCCACAGUGCCAGUGGUAGAGGGUGAUGAUGAUGAGGGAGGUUGCGGAGGUACGAAGGAUUGUAAUUGAUGAACAGAAAAAGGAGGCGGUAAAUUAGGGGUA